This 76-nucleotide transfer RNA is filed under the name Gimesia fumaroli. RNAcentral's name for it is "Planctomycetes bacterium Enr17 tRNA-Asp". It matches the Rfam family "tRNA". Rfam says of the family: Transfer RNA (tRNA) molecules are approximately 80 nucleotides in length. Their secondary structure includes four short double-helical elements and three loops (D, anti-codon, and T loops). Further hydrogen bonds mediate the characteristic L-shaped molecular structure. tRNAs have two regions of fundamental functional importance: the anti-codon, which is responsible for specific mRNA codon recognition, and the 3' end, to which the tRNAs corresponding amino acid is attached (by aminoacyl-tRNA synthetases). tRNAs cope with the degeneracy of the genetic code in two manners: having more than one tRNA (with a specific anti-codon) for a particular amino acid; and 'wobble' base-pairing, i.e. permitting non-standard base-pairing at the 3rd anti-codon position. Lineage: Bacteria; Pseudomonadati; Planctomycetota; Planctomycetia; Planctomycetales; Planctomycetaceae. The record is from RNAcentral.
GUCUCCGUGGAGCUGUCUGGAAAGCUCGUCUGCCUGUCACGCAGAAGGUCGUGGGUUCAAAUCCCAUCGGGGACGC